AUCAAGAGCACGAUCCAGGUGUUUCAGUUCAAUGAGUAACACGACGGGUGCCAUAUGUUGAUCAGGAACUGUAUACCUUUAGGAGGACGUGAGAUCUCAGCAUAUCUUGUUUCAAAUGGGUUCGUGUUGCUAUCAUUGUAGUUUCUAGUAUUGUAUUUGUGUAAUUGUAGUUAUAAGUGUGUAUGUGCGUACUAUCGAAUAUGUAGAAUAUAGAUUGUUUUAAAAGGGUGGUUAAAGAUACCAAAAGUAUAUUAAAACUUGUAAGUCGAAAACAAACUGACAAUGCCAUGGGAAACACCCAACAAAAAACAACGCAAAUAAACCAACCGUACAUAAAACAAAGCAUAGAAAACUAAAGACUACGCAACACCAACCAAACCAAACACCGUGGGUAAUUUCAGGUGCUCUGGAAAGGUCAGCAUAUCCUUCUCCACAUAUGCUGCACCCGUAGUGUAACUCAUGAAAAUUACUAAAUACUAAUUUCCUGCAUGUCGUAUUCGUUUUUGAUGCGUUUUGUUAUUUGAUUUUGCCAUGUGAUUAUGGACUUUCCGAAUUGAUUUUCCUCUAAGUUCAGUAUUUUUGUGAUUUUACUUUUUUUGACAGGGUCAAAUUGAUUGGUUUUAUACCGUAAGGGGUUAUAUGAUAUGCAUGGCCGAUCAUUUAUUAAUUUGAUGUCUUAGGGUUAGAAAAGAGACUAUUUCCCCCAUUUUGUGAUCGUUUAUCAUCAAAUAUAAUUCAUCAGUGUACAUUUGUAGUUUAAUAUGACAUAACAUGAGGGUGUCACUAGUGGAACAGGAACAGUGGACACAUGAUGAACAUAUGAGUUAACCCCAAUGUAUUGUGGGGAUUGGUUAUGCAAUAUUGAGAUAUCUGUAUAGUGUUCUUUGUCCUGUACACUGGUUCUUGAUCGAUAUUGUCCGUGAGUAUGUUUCAAAUUAGCUAAUACCUGGAAUAUAGUGCCGGGAACCAUGAUAUUUGUCCUGGUGAUUGUCUUUUCGUUGUUUUGUUUCGCUUUGGUGUUGUCUCAUUCGAAUUAUUGUUUUUAAUUGUCUCCUUGGAAUCUUCUUCGUUUGAAUCAAAUAAAGAAUUUUCCUAUGGUAAUUUGAAAAGCUAGUUGUUGAAUGAGUUUCAUAUAAGUUCAAGUGGUGUGUAACAAAAAAGACGUAGAUUUUUGCAGAUUUUUUUAAAUAUCUGAUUAAGAACGUAUUCGUCAUGUGAGAAAAAUAUACACACGAUAUAGUAACAUAUAACUUUCAAAACUUGCAUUAUGAGUGCUAAGCGUGUCUAAAGUACUUUUAAUUCUUAUUAAUUAAGAUAAAUAAGGUUUACUGCUAAUUUCAUGAUUUCACAACAUAACGCAAUUUAAUUUGAAUUUAACAUGAAAUGUUGAGAAGUCUUAAGAAAAUAAAACUGUUCGAGACCACCAAUGUCGAUAUUCAACAAAAGUUUUCUUCAGGUGAAACAAAGAGUUAUAGCAAAGUUACCUGCAAUUUGUAAUUAAGAGAGAAACUGUCAAAAUUUCACUCGAUUGUUCAGUUGAGGCGUUGUUAGAUAUAUCGUUAUAAAGACAUCUAUUUGAUCAGCGGUGAAGUUUUGUGACAACAGUGUCGUGUUUAGGUCACCCAGUAAUACGAGGAAGGUGUGAACAGAAAUUUCUUCUCUUGUCAGGUAAAAAGAAUACAUUAUCAAAUGGUGGAAUCUUUUUAAGAAAAUCUAAUCAGUUAAAAACAUUGCAAAAUAAAUGAACCUUACAAAAUCAUUAACUUCUCUGAAAGAAGUAACUUUCGUUGAUAGUAGGUUUUGAAAUAAGGACGUAAAAAUAAACUUGUAACAAUAGAUUUCGUUUGUCUGAUAUCAUUAUGACCUACCUUUAGUAAAACUUGAAUGAUUUCUCUCUUUAUAAUAUUAGAUUUUAAAUUUUCAUUUCUUUUUUAUUUACGGCUACUCUAACUUAUUAUCAUUCUGUCAUUAACAUAUUUUUGACAAAUCAUACUCCGAAAACAUAUAUUCCAUAGAUUUGGACAUGAACCCUAAACUCAAUAACUACCAAAAAGGUAUUUGAAAAGUUUGCCUCAAACCAUCACUUCCUAAAUUCUAUUGGCAUCAUCAUGAUUUGUUCAAGUGUUUCAUUAUUUUUUAAGUUUGUACACUGAUUGCAGACAUUACUGUAAUACCUACACAUUAUUACAAAUAUUGUCAUUUCCACGGAGUACAUCGACUUAUAAUGAAAUAUUGAAAUGAUUUUAGCAACAUAUUAGAAUCUAGAAGUGAAACGUGGAUUGCCAACCUUUCCAGACAACACAAGCUAUCCCAAGAUAUUCACCAGGGUGGUGUUAAUUCAUUUUACAUUUUUGUUCGCUGUUGUCAGUAAUGGUGUUGUUUAUCCUUUGAUUUGUUCUAAUUGUUAUUGUCAAUCCCUCUUGGUUUUCAUCAACUUUCUUGAUAAAAAAGACAUCUUUAAAAUUGUAUUACUGGUGAUGUAUGCAUGAAUGUAGACACUCACACCUUAUCUUUACACCGUUUUUUUUUCGUCAUAAACUUGCAGGACCCUUUGUAAGCAAUCUCGAAUGAGAGAAAAGCAUUCAUUAUUUAUUCAAUUCAUGAUAAAAAGAACAGAAACACUGCUUAGACAUACAGUGAUAUCUCAUAUAACGGUCAUCAUUUCACAAUAUAUAAUUGUAAAAAAUACUUUUAUAAUUUAUUUAUUUCCUUUAUUCAGAGCGGUGAUACCUUAAACAGGGUUGGUUCUACAAUGUUUUUGUACAUCAAGAACGCUUCAGCUAGUGAAAUUCGUAAACGAUUGACAACGAUUAACUUUAGUCUGUCAUUGUUCUGACAUUCACCUGAUUCUACUCUAACUGGACCUAACAUAAUUAUUAACGACAGUUAUACUAACAAAGCAAAGCAAAGAACUACAAAUUUUCUCACUUCAUUUCUCACCAGAUUUAGUUUAUGUAAUGUUUAU
RNAcentral lists this long non-coding RNA (2965 nucleotides) under Mytilus galloprovincialis (Mediterranean mussel). Lineage: Eukaryota; Metazoa; Mollusca; Bivalvia; Mytilida; Mytilidae. The record is from RNAcentral.